This 254-nucleotide ribosomal RNA is filed under the name uncultured bacterium. RNAcentral's name for it is "partial 16S ribosomal RNA". It matches the Rfam family "Bacterial small subunit ribosomal RNA", at positions 524 to 776 of the family's 1533-position model. The record is from RNAcentral.
UACGGAGGGGGCAAGCGUUGUUCGGAUUUACUGGGCGUAAAGGGUGUGUAGGCGGUUGCGCAAGUCUGGUGUGAAAUCUUCACCGCUUAACGGGAAGAGGUCACUGGAAACUGCGUAACUCGAGUAUGGUAGAGGCAAGCGGAAUUCCUGGUGUAGCGGUGGAAUGUGUAGAUAUCAAGAGGAACACCUGCGGCGAAGGCGGGUUGCUGGGCUGACACUGACGCUGAGGCGCGAAAGCCAGGGGAGCGAACGGG